GCUGUAGCUCAGUGGCAAAGCACUUGUUUUGUGUGCAGAAGGUCUUUGGUUCAAUCCCUGACAUCUCCA
Podarcis lilfordi (Lilford's wall lizard) is the source of this 69-nucleotide non-coding RNA. The record is from the annotation of a GenBank genome assembly. NCBI's taxonomy places the organism in Eukaryota, Metazoa, Chordata, Lepidosauria, Squamata, Lacertidae.